RNAcentral lists this ribosomal RNA (696 nucleotides) under Triticum aestivum (bread wheat). RNAcentral's name for it is "partial small subunit ribosomal RNA". Lineage: Eukaryota; Viridiplantae; Streptophyta; Magnoliopsida; Poales; Poaceae. The record is from RNAcentral.
AUGGAUAAUAAGGGACUGUUUGAUGGUGAACAAAUUUAUGCUCGUGGUGACUACCUCAAGUGUGUCAGAAUGGCCGCUAUUAAACAAGAGGAGGUAGACACAUCUAAUGAUACCAGCGGUGGCCAAAUUACUCAUGACAAACCACUAUGUCGGAAGCACAAUAAGCGAUACGAGUAUAUUCAUCGCCCACGCAAAGCAAGCUCAAUCCAAAAGUUCAAAGGCAAGAAAAUCCAUCUAAAGCCCGGAAAGUCCAUUCUCCGUGGUGAGCCUUGCAAGCACUACUUAGAUGAGUUUAGUCGCCACGUUGUGUGGGGCAACACAGUUAGGCUCUAUAACCAUAAUGUUUGUGCACUGCGAAAGAUCAUCCGCAGCACCACCAUGCCUAAUAACUACUAUGUGUGCCACAUGACAGAAACAUUUGCAACACAAGGCAAAAGAAUGUACUUUAAUGUCCACUUUUCUACGGGUUCCCUUUUCCCACACAUGGAUGCUGACCACGGUGAACUUCCAAUCAUAUCUGGAGACGGAACAACCACUAUCACGGCCCACUUUAUCAAGGGAGUUGACAAAAGGGCCACCAUCACUAAAGGCUGGAGCGACUUCUUCCGUCGGACCCACAUGAAUGAAGGGCAAGCAUAUGAUUUCGGCUUCAAAUGCACUUCCAAGGGAUUGCACCUGAUUGUCUACUCAAUAUAA